GGCUACACACGUGCUACAAUGGGUAGAACAGAGAGUCGCAAAGCUGUGAAGUGGAGCUAAUCUCAGAAAACUAUUCUUAGUUCGGAUUGUACUCUGCAACUCGAGUACAUGAAGUUGGAAUCGCUAGUAAUCGCGAAUCAGCAAUGUCGCGGUGAAUACGUUCUCGGGUCUUGUACACACCGCCCGUCACACCACGAGAGUUGGUUGCACCUGAAGUAGCAGGCCUAACCGUAAGGAGGGAUGUUCCGAGGGUGUGAUUAGCGAUUGGGGUGAAGUCGUAACAAGGUAUCCGUACGGGAACGU
Molecule: ribosomal RNA, 303 nt
Filed under: uncultured Fusobacterium sp.
Lineage: Bacteria; Fusobacteriati; Fusobacteriota; Fusobacteriia; Fusobacteriales; Fusobacteriaceae
Description: bacterial SSU rRNA
Rfam family: Bacterial small subunit ribosomal RNA
Source: RNAcentral